Molecule: long non-coding RNA, 545 nt
Organism: Neopsephotus bourkii (Bourke's parrot)
Lineage: Eukaryota; Metazoa; Chordata; Aves; Psittaciformes; Psittacidae
Exons: 2
Source: RefSeq, a predicted model, not a curated record
GCAAAGUCUAAACUCGCUAAAAACACAAGAGGCUGGAAGACUUCUGGAAUCCUCAAAACUGAAUCAAGGGAGAUCAUGCUUUGUCGUUUCCUCUCUGCAGACAGCAGAUGCAAUUAGAGCACGGGAAUGCUGGGGUAGGUGAAGCUAGAAAGUGUGCUGCUUGAGCAGCUUGUAGCAGCCUAUGAUGACAGUAAGUCUGCUGCUGUGAUUUCUGUGAGGCAACAAUGAUCUGCUGGAAAGGGGCAUUAUCUUUGAAGUCAUACAGCUGCAUCUCCAGUGCAGAAGAGAAGGUACUUUAUUUCCCUGUAACUGACAUCACCCAAGUUUUUCUCCUUUCACCUUUGCUAAAGUCUCUGCAGCUGGAAAAGAUCUAUUGUCUCUAAAACAAAUGCACAAUCUCUGGCUUCUAACUUGUUUUGAAUUUUUUGCUAUUAUAUGACUACUGUGAUCAUCUAGUCUGACUUCCUGCCUGCCACGGUCUAUAAACAUCCUGUAAAUAACUUCAGGUCUGAUAGAUGUGAUUAAAUUGGAAUGUUGUUAGAAAA